RNAcentral lists this long non-coding RNA (2887 nucleotides) under Homo sapiens (human). Its description in RNAcentral is "non-protein coding lnc-DNAJB6-7:8". Lineage: Eukaryota; Metazoa; Chordata; Mammalia; Primates; Hominidae. The record is from RNAcentral.
GGCAGGGUAGGUCCCAGCAUACGCUGUCGUUCACCACUUUGGAAGGACGGGAGCCUGCUGAGGGGUAACAGGGCGUUUAUUACCACAGCAUGUCUUAGGCAAGCACCUAAAAUGAUCACAAGCUUCAGUAUGUUUAAUAAGCUUUUAUUUCAAUACAAGGCAAACAAAUCAAGGAAUUUUUAUGCAGUUUAGUAAGAACAGAAGUAGAAAUUGGAAAUUUAGACAGUUGGAUUAGUUUUAUUUACAGAGUGAGAUCUGUCUGUUUCCCUCUGGUGGUGACUGGCACCGUUUAAAAGAAUCUGCGGAAUUCCUAACCGUGACAGACGCUGAUACUGCUGGGGACACAAGACCCUCUUGGCCAGCGUCAGCUCAAGGCACCUCCUCGCCUGCCGACAGUGGCAUGGAGACUGGGGGCUGUGGCAUUGGGGGUGGCUCCAGGGCCUGGGACCCUGGCUCCUGAGCGGGUGCGCCACCCUCAGUGUGGGGGAGGACGAGGGAGUGGACACCCACCCAAGGGGGUGACGGGACAGGCUUCCUAAACCACUGGAGCUCUGAGGCUCCUGGCAUAUCCCUCCCACGGGGCUGCAUCUCCGGUGCCUCCCCUCCCCUCCUGUGUUCCACCCACCCUGCCCUGUUCUGGGUGUCUGCAGCUCCGCCACACCUGGUACAAAUAUCUGCCUUGCUCUGCUGUACCCAACAGCUCUGAGAUUUUUAGGAAGCGAAGGGGCAGAAGAAGCGACUCACAAGCUCCUGGAGCCGUGUUGGGAGGGGCCCUCGGGGCCCCUGGAGUGGAGAGACACACCCAGAGGCUUUCCAGCCACCCAGGGAGGAGGCGCGGUGGCUGGGAUUUGGAGACAGCUGUGGAGGUGGGUGCAGGAGGCCGGGUUCUCUGUAUUUCCAGACUAGAGGCAGCGGCAGCUAUUGGUGUGGGGUGGGAGGGGAGAGCAGCUGGGACAUAGAAACAUUCCGAACCUAUGAUAAGCUCCCUGCUUCCAAACCCUUAAAUGUCCUUAAUCUGUAAGAAAGAACACUCCUGACCAAAAUUGGCCAGGAGGCCCUCUCAGGUUUAUUCUCUGAAAUAAACCUGUCCUUGACUGUGGAGCUGCUUUCCCGUUUCUUUCCUCUUUCUUUAACUCUUACAGAGAGCAGCUGGAAUGGCCCCACAGGCUACAGCCCGUGUCGGUGUGGGAUGCGAGGGAGAGGAGCCAGGAUGGCCCCACAUGCUUUCCUUGGCUGCCUGGGCGGGUGCAGCAGCCACCUGAGAGGGCCGUCUGAGGACACGAGGCGGCAUCAGCCUCAUGAGAUCUGGGAUGUGCACGGGACGUCCAUGAAGCCGUCGGAGAUGUGUGUCUGGGCAGGGUGCUGACAGGGAGGGUGGGUUUCUGUGGCAUUUGGGUUUGGGGGAUGAAGCCGUGCAGGGGUGUGAGGCCUGAGGGUUGCAGCAGAUGCCUGUGUCCACAUCUGGACAGCAUUGCUGGCUAACGCCAACCCCACCUGGCUUGGGAACAGGCUUGAAUGUGUGGUCUGUCCUGGGCAAAGAGUAAGUUCCUAGAAAAUCCCAGCAGUCACUGGGAAGUCUGAUGACUUCCUGAGCCGAGCUCUUGGUGUGAUGUGAUCCCAUCGGUGGUGUUACUUCUGGUUUUUGUCUUGUUCACAAUAGGAUUUGGAGUAGUUUACAAAGGUUAACAAAGUUCAGGGAGUCAGGGAAGGGAAAAUUAAGAAAAAGCCCACAGGACAGAGUGGAGCAUGUGGCAAGGUCAGCGGCCGCGUGGACGUCUCCGAUUGUGCUGGCUGUGCUGCUGUGGCCGCGGUGGGGCAGAAGGCCAGACGUCCUCACUUCCCCCAACCCCAGUCCAGUUGUACAUGUUGUGCACUGCACAAGGGCCCUGGCAGAGGACCAAGUUGGAGUUGAAAUCCAGCCAUGGCAUGGCCCUGUGGGCUGCACACAGCAUAUGGAGGCUGCACUGGUCAGCAGCUGCUCAGCCUGAGAGAGAUCCUGGAGCCCCAUGUGGCAUCUCUGGGUCUGAAUUCUCUCUUGACACAAAGAGGACACCUCCUUGGUCGUUGCUAAGGAAUUUGAACAGAGGAGGGCCCUGCAAGUUCCCAGCGCCAUGCACUGUGCAGCCGAGCCCAACACCCGGAAGCUGCUGUCAGCUGGUCCCUCGGACACUACUGUGGGCUGGUUUGACCUCUUGGGCCCUCACUGCUCAGAGCUGCAAGGUGGCUUCAUCACUUUCUUCUGUGCAGUCCCAGCCUUCCAGAUGGUCAGAGACUGCUGGUGCCUCCCUCCACCAUCCCGUUGCUGUCCCCCAGGGCCUCAUCUCUGGGACUUCUCUACCCUACCAUCCCUCACAUUGACACAAAUGUGUACACAGAAGCACACAUGCACACACACAUACAUGCAUGUGCACAGAUGAACACACAGACACACACGCACACACAUGCACAUGCAUGCAAAGACAUGCACACAUGCAUGCACACACACACAUGCACAUGCACAGAUGAACACACAGACACACACACGCACAUGCAUGCACACAGACACACAUGCAUAUACAUGCACAGAGAUGCACACAUAUACACACAGACAUGCACACACACAUGCUACAGCAUGUGCACACAGACACACACACCCUGCACACCCCAAGCCUCGUCUGCUGUCUCUGCUGUGCCUGCUUCCCUUAGCCCCUGAUACCACCUUCCCCAGGUCUCCCAACUGCCCUGCCUGGACACAGAGAGGGGUCCUGUGAAGUCAGGCCUUGAAGGAGUGGGCGUCUCUCAGCCCCUCUGGAAGCCUCGCACCAGGACUGUCCCCUCUCCCGCAGAGCAUUCAGGACCAGCAGCCCUCAGCCCUGCAGUCUCCAGACCUGGUUCUGGGGAGCUUGGG